GUGACCUCAAAUCAGGUAGGACUACC
RNAcentral lists this ribosomal RNA (26 nucleotides) under Cortinarius tenuifulvescens. RNAcentral describes it as "partial 28S ribosomal RNA". Lineage: Eukaryota; Fungi; Basidiomycota; Agaricomycetes; Agaricales; Cortinariaceae. The record is from RNAcentral.